GAUGAACGCUAGCGGCAGGCCUAACACAUGCAAGUCGAGGGGUAGCAGGAUUAAGCUUGCUUAAUUGCUGACGACCGGCGCACGGGUGCGUAACGCGUAUGCAACCUACCUUAUACUGGGGUAUAGCCCGGAGAAAUUCGGAUUAAUCCCCCAUAGUACUAAUGAAUCGCAUGGUUUAUUAGUUAAAGCAUUGCGGUAUAAGAUGGGCAUGCGUCCUAUUAGCUAGAUGGUGAGGUAACGGCUCACCAUGGCUACGAUAGGUAGGGGGCCUGGGAGGGUGGUCCCCCACACUUGUGCUGAGACACGGACCAGACUCCUACGGGAGGCACCAGUGAGGAAUAUUGGUCAAUGGGCGCAAGCCUGAACCAGCCAUGCCGCGUGCAGGAAGAAUGCCCUAUGGGUUGUAAACUGCUUUUAUUUGGGAAUAAACCUCUUUACGUGUAGAGAGCUGAAGGUACCAAAUGAAUAAGCACCGGCUAACUCCGUGCCAGCCGCCGCCGUAA
Molecule: ribosomal RNA, 503 nt
Filed under: uncultured bacterium
Lineage: Bacteria
Description: partial 16S ribosomal RNA
Rfam family: Bacterial small subunit ribosomal RNA
Source: RNAcentral